RNAcentral lists this ribosomal RNA (836 nucleotides) under uncultured Sulfurovum sp. Its description in RNAcentral is "bacterial SSU rRNA". It matches the Rfam family "Bacterial small subunit ribosomal RNA", at positions 690 to 1532 of the family's 1533-position model. The record is from RNAcentral. Lineage: Bacteria; Pseudomonadati; Campylobacterota; Epsilonproteobacteria; Campylobacterales; Sulfurovaceae.
GUAGAGAUUACUAGGAAUACCAAAAGCGAAAGGCGAUCUUCUGGAACAGUACUGACGCUGAGAUGCGAAAGCGUGGGGAGCAAACAGGAUUAGAUACCCUGGUAGUCCACGCAGUAAACGAUGAAUGUUAGUCGUUGGUAUCCUAGAGAUAUCAGUGAUGCAGUUAACACAUUAAACAUUCCGCCUGGGGAGUACGGUCGCAAGAUUAAAACUCAAAGGAAUAGACGGGGACCCGCACAAGUGGUGGAGCAUGUGGUUUAAUUCGAAGAUACGCGAAGAACCUUACCUAGCCUUGACAUAUUUUAGAACUCACCAGAGAUGGAGAGGUGCCUUCGGGAGCUAAUUUACAGGUGCUGCACGGCUGUCGUCAGCUCGUGUCGUGAGAUGUUGGGUUAAGUCCCGCAACGAGCGCAACCCUCGUCACUAGUUACUAACGGUUCGGCCGAGGACUCUAGUGAGACUGCCUUCGUAAGGAGGAGGAAGGUGAGGACGACGUCAAGUCAUCAUGGCCCUUACGGCUAGGGCAACACACGUGCUACAAUGGUUAGGACAAUGAGAAGCAAUAUCGCGAGGUGGAGCAAAUCUAUAAACCUAAUCUCAGUUCGGAUUGUAGUCUGCAACUCGACUACAUGAAGCUGGAAUCACUAGUAAUCGUAGAUCAGCUAUGCUACGGUGAAUACGUUCCCGGGUCUUUACUCACCGCCCGUCACACCAUGGGAGUUGAUUUCACCCGAAGCGGGGAAGCUAAACUGGCUACCCUCCACGGUGGAAUUAGCGACUGGGGUGAAGUCGUAACAAGGUAACCGUAGGAGAACCUGCGGCUGGAUAACCUCCUU